RNAcentral lists this ribosomal RNA (376 nucleotides) under uncultured bacterium. RNAcentral's name for it is "bacterial SSU rRNA". It matches the Rfam family "Bacterial small subunit ribosomal RNA", at positions 524 to 898 of the family's 1533-position model. The record is from RNAcentral.
GACGGAGGGUGCAAGCGUUGCUCGGAAUCAUUGGGCGUAAAGGGUGCGUAGGCGGCUUUUUAAGUCUGACGUGAAAGCCCAGGGCUUAGCCUUGGAAGUGCGCCAGAAACUGGAAGGCUAGAGUGCCGGAGGGGAGAGUGGAAUUCCUGGUGUAGCGGUGAAAUGCGUAGAUAUCAGGAGGAAUACCGGUGGCGAAAGCGACUCUCUGGACGGUAACUGACGCUGAGGCACGAAAGCGUGGGGAGCAAACAGGAUUAGAUACCCUGGUAGUCCACGCUGUAAACGAUGGGCACUAGGUGUCGGGGGUAUCCACUCCCUCGGUGCCGCCGCUAACGCAUUAAGUGCCCCGCCUGGGAAGUACGGCCGCAAGGUUAAA